AGAGUGAACGCUGGUGGUAGGCCUAACACAUGCAAGUCGAACGGCAGCACGGUAAGAGCUUGCUCUUAUGGGUGGCGAGUGGCGGACGGGUGAGGAAUACAUCGGAAUCUACCUUUUGGUGGGGGAUAACGUAGGGAAACUUACGCUAAUACCGCAUACGCCCUUCGGGGGAAAGCCGGGGACCAGCAAUGGCCUGGUGCU
This 201-nucleotide ribosomal RNA is filed under the name uncultured soil bacterium. RNAcentral's name for it is "partial 16S ribosomal RNA". It matches the Rfam family "Bacterial small subunit ribosomal RNA", at positions 26 to 219 of the family's 1533-position model. The record is from RNAcentral.